UAGGGAAUCUUCGGCAAUGGGGGGAACCCUGACCGAGCAACGCCGCGUGAGUGAAGAAGGUUUUCGGAUCGUAAAGCUCUGUUGUUAAGGAAGAACGAGUGUGAGAAUGGAAAGUUCAUACUGUGACGGUACUUAACCAGAAAGGGACGGCUAAUUACGUGCCAGCAGCCGCGGUAAUACGUAAGGUCCGAGCGUUGUCCGGAAUCAUUGGGCGUAAAGGGUACGUAGGCGGGUAAGCAAGUUAGAAGUGAAAUCCUGUAGCUCAACUACAGUAAGCUUUUAAAACUGCUCAUCUUGAGAUAUGGAAGGGAAAGUGGAAUUCCUAGUGUAGCGGUGAAAUGCGCAGAUAUUAGGAGGAAUACCGGUGGCGAAGGCGACUUUCUGGCCAUAAUCUGACGCUGAGGUACGAAAGCGUGGGUAGCAAACAGG
This 429-nucleotide ribosomal RNA is filed under the name Bacteroidota bacterium. RNAcentral's name for it is "Bacteroidetes bacterium partial 16S ribosomal RNA". It matches the Rfam family "Bacterial small subunit ribosomal RNA", at positions 355 to 776 of the family's 1533-position model. Lineage: Bacteria; Pseudomonadati; Bacteroidota. The record is from RNAcentral.